CCUCCUGUAGCUCAGUUGGAUAGAGCGCGUAAAAUAACGUGUCUUGGGAAAGACGUAAACAGCAAUUUUACAUAUGGUCUGUUAAACCCGAGGUCGCAGGUUCGAGCCCUGCCGGGAGGC
This 120-nucleotide transfer RNA is filed under the name Caudoviricetes sp. RNAcentral describes it as "tRNA-OTHER". It matches the Rfam family "tRNA". From Rfam's summary of the family: Transfer RNA (tRNA) molecules are approximately 80 nucleotides in length. Their secondary structure includes four short double-helical elements and three loops (D, anti-codon, and T loops). The record is from RNAcentral. Lineage: Duplodnaviria; Heunggongvirae; Uroviricota; Caudoviricetes.